Molecule: ribosomal RNA, 547 nt
Filed under: Clostridioides difficile
Lineage: Bacteria; Bacillati; Bacillota; Clostridia; Peptostreptococcales; Peptostreptococcaceae
Description: bacterial SSU rRNA
Rfam family: Bacterial small subunit ribosomal RNA
Source: RNAcentral
UUAUUUGAGAGUUUGAUCCUGGCUCAGGAUGAACGCUGGCGGCGUGCCUAACACAUGCAAGUUGAGCGAUUUACUUCGGUAAAGAGCGGCGGACGGGUGAGUAACGCGUGGGUAACCUACCCUGUACACACGGAUAACAUACCGAAAGGUAUGCUAAUACGGGAUAAUAUAUUUGAGAGGCAUCUCUUAAAUAUCAAAGGUGAGCCGGUACAGGAUGGACCCGCGUCUGAUUAGCUAGUUGGUAAGGUAACGGCUUACCAAGGCGACGAUCAGUAGCCGACCUGAGAGGGUGAUCGGCCACAUUGGAACUGAGACACGGUCCAAACUCCUACGGGAGGCAGCAGUGGGGAAUAUUGCACAAUGGGCGAAAGCCUGAUGCAGCAACGCCGCGUGAGUGAUGAAGGCCUUCGGGUCGUAAAACUCUGUCCUCAAGGAAGAUAAUGACGGUACUUGAGGAGGAAGCCCCGGCUAACUACGUGCCAGCAGCCGCGGUAAUACGUAGGGGGCUAGCGUUAUCCGGAUUUACUGGGCGUAAAGGGUGCGUAGG